GCAUGGCUGGUUCAGUGGUAGAAUUUUCGCCUGCCAUGCAGGAGGCCUGGAUUCGAUUCCUGGUUCAUGUA
Molecule: transfer RNA, 71 nt
Filed under: Tupaia belangeri chinensis (Chinese tree shrew)
Lineage: Eukaryota; Metazoa; Chordata; Mammalia; Scandentia; Tupaiidae
Description: Tupaia chinensis (Chinese tree shrew) tRNA
Rfam family: tRNA
About the family: Transfer RNA (tRNA) molecules are approximately 80 nucleotides in length. Their secondary structure includes four short double-helical elements and three loops (D, anti-codon, and T loops). Further hydrogen bonds mediate the characteristic L-shaped molecular structure. tRNAs have two regions of fundamental functional importance: the anti-codon, which is responsible for specific mRNA codon recognition, and the 3' end, to which the tRNAs corresponding amino acid is attached (by aminoacyl-tRNA synthetases). tRNAs cope with the degeneracy of the genetic code in two manners: having more than one tRNA (with a specific anti-codon) for a particular amino acid; and 'wobble' base-pairing, i.e. permitting non-standard base-pairing at the 3rd anti-codon position.
Source: Rfam by way of RNAcentral